Molecule: ribosomal RNA, 253 nt
Filed under: uncultured bacterium
Lineage: Bacteria
Description: partial 16S ribosomal RNA
Rfam family: Bacterial small subunit ribosomal RNA
Source: RNAcentral
AACGUAGGUUCCGAGCGUUAUCCGGAUUUACUGGGCGUAAAGCGCGUUCAGGCGGUUUGGCAAGUCGGGCAUGAAAUCUCUCGGCUCAACCGGGAGAGGUUGUCCGAUACUGCUGGACUUGAGGGCAGUAGAGGGUGGUGGAAUUCCGGGUGUAGUGGUGAAAUGCGUAGAUAUCCGGAGGAACACCGGUGGCGAAGGCGGCUUCCUGGACCGACACUGACGCUGAGGCGCGAAAGCUAGGGGAGCAAACGGG